This 53-nucleotide long non-coding RNA is filed under the name Eurytemora carolleeae. RNAcentral's name for it is "uncharacterized LOC111700843". Lineage: Eukaryota; Metazoa; Arthropoda; Copepoda; Calanoida; Temoridae. The record is from RNAcentral.
ACUUUUUCUGAAUUUUCCGCCAUUUUUACCCAGAUUCUCUUCUAGAAGUGAAU